UCUCUAAAUCAGUAAACUUUAAAAAAAAAAAAAGAACUUUGUUUCAGUAAAUAAUAGUGAUCCACAUCUCAAUUGGUGAGGACUUAUUGAAAAUCUCAAGUGCCUUUCUCGAUGGUCCAUAUUUUUUUUCAAAAAAUGUAAAAUAUGUAUGAAACAGCCUUACAUGAGAAAUUAUUCUAAUUUCUUACACAAGAACAACCCAGCUCCUCCAUCUACUAGCUGCAGGAUCAUGGACAAGCUACCUAACCACCCUGAUCCUGGAAUUCAGCCAUAAUAAUACCCACCACACAGGGUUGAUGUAAGGAUUAAAUAAAUAAGUUAAUAUCUCUAGAGUGCUUACCAUAUCCCUGGCACUGUUCCAAGCACAAGCGAUCAUCUUGGCCCUGUCCUCUCAGAGUAUAAGGUGGCUGACAGCAGGCACAAAGGUAAAAUAACAAGCCCAGAUGGCCAUCCCAAACUGCGGACUUAUCUAUCCCGAAAGGAGGAGGCUAAAGUCAGGUAGGGGUGAAGCACACAUGGGUAAAGUGAGCCUGGAAGAAUAAGGAGGCCUGUCAUUUUCCAUAUCAGAGCAACUGUGGUUGAAUAAAGCCUCCUCUUAAAGAAGUGUGGCUGUGAAGCAAAGGAGAGAGUGGUUGCUAGAGAGAGGCUUACCUUCUGCUCAAAAACAACCUCCACCCUCCCCUAUCUCACCUCCUGUCUCUCCUCUACCCAAUGCACUCUUGACUGCACCCCCUACUCUCUCCCUGCAGGAACCUACUAGCCAAAUACUCUACAGGAUCAAAUAAAGCAAGCACUGAAAAAUGAAGUCAGGCUCCCCAGGGGCUCUGCACAGCUCCGGGCACUCGGGAGGUCCCCCGUGAGUGGUAUAUGACCUCCCCAAGUCUGACACUUCCAUGUUGAACUCCAUACUGUUACUUUGCAACUUCGUUCUUAGCUGAGUUUUACUCUGCUCUCUUUCCUCAGCUGUCUUCCCCGAAACACCCAAAGGUGGAUGAUGAAUCCUAUAAUUUUGCCCCUAGAUCAUCCCAUCUGUUCCUGCACAUUCAACUACACAACGCUCUACUUUGCCAAUGCUCAAAUCUACAUCACCAGCUCCACUGCUCUCCUGAGCUAGUUACUUUAUAUCUCAUUUGUCCACUGAGCACUUAAAUAGACAUGGUGUCUGUCCAGUAGACAUCCCAAACCGGGCAACACUAAAACCAAUACUUUCUGUCCAAAUGCAGUUGCCGCUGCAGUAUCUAUUGGUGGUUAUUCACUCAGGGCAGAAGGCUAGGGUUCAAUCUUUCCCUUCAAAGCUCAUUCUUUUCACCUCUUCUGUCACCUCAGUGUUGUAUAAUCCACUCCUUCUCUAUCCCCAUCACUGACUUGGGUCAGUGUCUUCUGGGUCUUAAUAUUCAAGCCUUUUGUCCAUGUCUCUCUUCAUGGUAAACAUUAAGUACAUGUCACCCCCUAGGUGAUUAACCUCCUUGUCCCUAUCUACCAGAGCAGCGAAUACAUGAGGAGACACUGCCGAAUCGCUAAAAUUAAGUAGACGCAGAUUUAAUUCCCACCUCUGCUAUUUAGUAUUUAUGUGUCCUUCAGCAAUUUCCUGAAGCCUAUAAGGAAGUAAUUUCUACCUGGGCGUUUAGUUUCCUCAUUAGUAAAAUAAUAGGAUUGCCAUUAAUUCCAUAUCCUUCUGGCUUUAACUAAAAGAAGAUUUCUUAGACGAGGAGAAAUGAAAUAACCUAAGUUUAGUAGAUCGAGAGGCUUGGCUCCAGAAAAUCCGUCUGACUAAAUGUUGAAGGAAAUCGUCCCAGGUCCCACUGCUCAGCCCUUCUCCUGUAGAUUGGGUCGCUGACCUCAUACUGACUUUGUGACAUCCCAGAGUGAGGAAGUAUAAGUCCACAGUUGCCUGGUUUCUUUAGAUGCUCCUCCCUGCCUCAUCUCAAGGCUCAGAAAACCAUUUUCAUGUAAAUAGCCAGAAACCCCACACUGGGAUUCUAACAUCUACCAUGACUGGAUGCAGCCACCCUAGGAUACGGCACUUCUGCCCAUCCCUUAGGACUCCAUCUUUCUUCCGGAGCACAGAAAAAAGUACCACCAAGGACAGCCUGGGGGAGAAAAAGGAUAGCAACUGGCCAGUUCUUCAGUGUGUGGUCCUGAAGGAGUGUAGGAGGAAUACCGGGAGCAGUUGGGGGAUGUGUAAGAGGAGGGGAGGAAGGAGGUGGUGAUGGAGGCAUUUCGGAAGAGCCUUCAUUCAUUCUCAGGCACAUGGAAUGGCCUCAGUGAGAAGCAAGGCAUUUCAUGAAGAAAUUGCGGAGCACUCGUGCAGGACGGUGCUCUGGAGAGGAUACGAAUCUUUCUGCACGGUGACAUAGUCCUUACUGCGGUGACAUAGAUCUCUGCGGUAUUACCUUCCACAUUUUCUCCCGGAACAAAAGUGAGGCUGCCCAGCAUUGAGAAUCUCUUGAUCAAUAAAAUUGGAUCACUGCAACA
Long non-coding RNA from Felis catus (domestic cat), 2475 nucleotides. RefSeq lists it as uncharacterized. The transcript has 2 exons. NCBI's taxonomy places the organism in Eukaryota, Metazoa, Chordata, Mammalia, Carnivora, Felidae. The record is from RefSeq and is a predicted model, not a curated record.